UACUGCCCUCAUGCGAUGGAAAGGGAGCGAGAGCGACGAGACUGCGAGUGUUGUUGAUGCGACACAAAAGCCGUCCAUCUGAGAGCGGAAGCGCCGCCACUUUCAGUGAGAUAAGUGCUGCACUUGCAGAGGAAUUGUCCAGGAGUCCCAGCCGGAGGAGAAACUGGCAAACGUAG
This 176-nucleotide long non-coding RNA is filed under the name Chrysemys picta bellii (western painted turtle). RNAcentral describes it as "lncRNA (ENSCPBG00000001030.1)". The record is from RNAcentral. Lineage: Eukaryota; Metazoa; Chordata; Testudines; Emydidae.